GUUGUAAUGUUUACCAUCAACUCUUCAUCUCUCUAUCUAAAGUGUCCCCGAAUGGAGAACUACAGAACAACAAGCCGUUUUCUCUUAUUUUACAUUGCACUUGAUAUAUUGUUAUCUCAUCAAACAGAUUUGAAAAGCUUACAAUGAUUAUUAAGCAAGAUAAGUCGCUCGUGAAUAUCUUCAAAUAAUUAUUAAAAGUGCCUACGAGUCAAACUUACAAUUUUAGAACUGGUCUGAUUCUUUGCUUCUUUCCUGACCGGGACUUGAACAUGUAUUUUACACUUUAUACAUUUUACAUAUAUUCUAUGAUUCUAUGGGCUGUCUUUCUGUCAAUAAAAUUCUAAAUUGUCCAAAUUUGUUUGAAGUUUAUGCGAAUUAUUACUAUG
Molecule: long non-coding RNA, 386 nt
Filed under: Mytilus galloprovincialis (Mediterranean mussel)
Lineage: Eukaryota; Metazoa; Mollusca; Bivalvia; Mytilida; Mytilidae
Source: RNAcentral